This is a non-coding RNA of Delphinapterus leucas (beluga whale), 678 nucleotides long. NCBI's taxonomy places the organism in Eukaryota, Metazoa, Chordata, Mammalia, Artiodactyla, Monodontidae. The record is from RefSeq and is a predicted model, not a curated record.
AUGGUCCUCGGCAGCAGCCUCCCUGGCAUGGGGGUGAAGCGGAGCCUUCAAAGUGGGGGCACCUUGCUGGGCUUCUUGGCCAACAUCCUCACCAUUCUGUCCAUGGCCACCAACUACUGGAUCCGCUACUCUGGGGGCCACAGUGGCCUGUGGCAGGAGUGCAGCGGGGGCACCUGCUCCAACAUCUCCUGCCAGAGUGAGGCCCCGCCGCCCAGCUGUCAGACCCUCCCCCCCUACUGGACAGACAGCCCCCCAGCACUGACCACAGCUGGCCCCCUCUCCUGACACUACAGCCGGGCACAUCCUGCGGUGCCCCCGCCCCCAGCCCUUCCACUUCGGCCUAAGAUCCAGCUGUCCCUCCGUGACCAGGCCACCAGGAACCCCAACUCGGGGACCUGCCUCCCUGUUGCAACAUUAACCGCCGCUCACGAUCCAUGCUGGCGGUGACCGGGGCGUGCAUGGUGCUGGCGGCGGGCUGCAGCAUCGUGGGCUUGGUGAUGGGGCUGCGGAUUCUGUGCCAGGAGGGCGACUCGCGGGGCCGGACCACGAGUGCCAUCUUCUUCCUCUGUGGUGAGACGGCAUAGGGUGGGCCUGGUAGCUGGAGGAGGUAGGGGCCCCGAGGGCGAGGAGCUAAAGAGGCAGGGUCAGGGGCGGGGCCAGGGAGAUGGGGUAGAGCAG